CUUUUACCGACUAGAAAAAACUAACAAGACUUCAAACCAAAUCAUUUGAAUUUGGCUUGCUUUUCACAUAGCAUUAAUUGUUUGCGCAUAGAGGAGUGCAAACAUGGAACGACAUGUUAUAGGACUAGCAGCCCUUCUGUUUCUGCUUGUGAGCGGCAGUGAUUCGCUGGAGUGCUACAGUUGCCAUGGCAUCCACGACAUUACAACGUGCAGAAACAUAACAACAUGUGGAGCAAAUCAGGCAUGCUAUCAUCGCAUGAGGGCUGAUGCUUCCGGUAACGUUUUGGAUGUGGGCUGUGUGGACCAUACACUGUGUGUCAAGUCCGGAAGUAUUUCAAGUCUCAUAGGACGAUCUCUGAUACAACUCAGACAAACGUCAUUCAACUGUUCAGAAUGCUGUUCAACAGAUAGAUGCAACGACCAACUGUGCUCUCACAAUUUACCUUCCGCUUGUGUUGACGAUGAGACCUGUGCUAAAAUGAGUUCCCUUUUCGACGUCUGUACUGGUAACUACGAGCAUGCUGCGAUGGUUUGUCCUCGAUUUUGUAACCUGUGCAAUUUUAGUAACGGUAACUGGGCAGACUGGUCAAGUUGGUCAUCUUGUACAAUCACGUGUGGUAGCACCUCACAGACGAGGACCAGAACGUGUACUAAUCCCCCGCCAGCAAACCAUGGUAAAAACUGCAUAGGGCCUUCCACUGACUACACGUCUUGUGUAAGAGACUCGUGCCCUGUCGACGGUGGUUGGGGUACAUGGGCUACUUGGGGAUCAUGUUCGGCAUCCUGUGGCGUAGCAUUACAACACAGAACCAGAUAUUGCGACAACCCACCUCCUGCGAGGUUUGGAGAUCACUGCUUUGGAGACUCUCUGGAUUACCGAACAUGUAUACUUCAAGGAUGCACAGAUGGUGGAUGGACCACAUGGACAAAUUGGGGCACGUGCUCAGCCACGUGCGAUGGAGGGUUUCAUCAGCGCAGUCGCCAGUGCACUAAUCCCCCAGCGUCUGUCAAUGGCCACCAGUGUGAUGGACCAAAUGUUGACGUAGGAGCAUGCAACACUCAGCAAUGUCCGCAAACAGAUGGUGGAUGGACCACGUGGACAAGUUGGGGCACGUGCUCAGCCUCGUGCGAUGGAGGGUUUCAUCAGCGCAGUCGCCAGUGUACUAAUCCUCCAGCAUCUGCUUAUGGCCACCAGUGUGAUGGUCCAAAUGUUGACGUAGGAGCAUGCAACACUCAGCAAUGUCCGCAAACAGAUGGGGGUUGGACAGCAUGGUCCUCGUGGAGCACGUGCCCAUCCACAAUAUUGUGUGUUGGUGGAAUUCAUCAAAGAUACCGAGAAUGUUCCAACCCGAAACCUUCUGUGUAUGGUCAGCAAUGUCAUGGAGUCAGUGUAGAUACACAAUCGUGCAAUACAUGCCAGUAUGCAAACAUUCAGAACUCUAUUCGUUUGAAUAAUGGGCGAGUUGAAGUAUACUUGAACGGGGCAUGGGGAACUGUGUGUGACGAUUCAUUUGAUUCCAAUAGCAAUGCUGCUCGAGUUGUGUGUAGGCAGCUCGGACUACCAUCGUUAAUUGCAAUAUUGUUUGAUAUUUUAUGAAGUUUAAAUAAUUUGUUGUUCAAAUAUCCCUAAAUUUAUUGUUGAAAAGAUAUCUAACUGACAUGUAGAUAAUGUAUGAAAAUAAAAUGAUUAACGCGUAUAAAAGUGUUUGAAUUUGAGGCGAAAGUAGAUACGUUUAACAUGUGUGGGUUCAACGAGGUUCUUCUAUCACAUUUGUUGUUCUAUCGAGCACUUUUAUAUGUCGUAUUUGUUUGAAGAUUUAAACAUCACGUUUUGACAAUUCAAAAUGUGUUAGAAGGUUUAUCAACAUUGGUAUUUGUUUUCAGGUCCAAUGCUCGUCCUAUUGACCCGUUUGAAGGGCCUAGCUAUAUGUCCAUCUUAAUGGAUGACGUUGUUUGUACCGGAAACGAAGCGUCAUUGUUUGAUUGCUCGCGUUAUGCUGGUGCGCACAACUGCCAGCACAGUGAAGAUGCUGGUGUAUACUGUGAAUAACUUACAAUAUAAUAAAAGUGUGUUCGUUAUUCAUGUAUCAAUUAUGAACAAUAAAUUAAAUGCAUCACAACCCAAUAAAAUGUGUGAACUGUU
Molecule: RNA transcript, 2143 nt
Organism: Dreissena polymorpha
Lineage: Eukaryota; Metazoa; Mollusca; Bivalvia; Myida; Dreissenidae
Gene name: coadhesin-like
Exons: 13
Source: RefSeq, a predicted model, not a curated record